RNAcentral lists this ribosomal RNA (346 nucleotides) under uncultured bacterium. RNAcentral's name for it is "partial 16S ribosomal RNA". It matches the Rfam family "Bacterial small subunit ribosomal RNA", at positions 338 to 676 of the family's 1533-position model. The record is from RNAcentral.
CCUACGGGGUGCAGCAGUGGGGAAUUUUGCGCAAUGCUCGUAAGAGUGACGCAGCGACGCCGCGUGAAUGACGAAGGCCUUCGGGUCGUAAAGUUCUUUCGACAGGGAAGAAAAUGCCUAUAAGUAACUGUGUAUGUAAUGACGGUACCUGUAUAAGCAGCCCCGGCUAACUACGUGCCAGCAGCCGCGGUAAUACGGAGGUGGCGAGCGUUGUUCGGAGUGACUGGGAGUAAAGAGCACGUAGGCGGUGUGUUAAGUCAUUAGUAAAAGAUUGGAGAUCAACUUUAGUAAGGCUAGUGAUACUAUAAUACUAGUGUAUCAGAGAGGAUUGCAGAAUUCCUGGUGU